CAAGCUAAAGCAUUUACAUGCAACCCACUUACACUGAGAAGAAGGUCUACUAGACCUAGCUUGA
Molecule: transfer RNA, 64 nt
Filed under: Sirsoe methanicola
Lineage: Eukaryota; Metazoa; Annelida; Polychaeta; Phyllodocida; Hesionidae
Description: tRNA-Val
Source: RNAcentral